AACGAACGCUGGCGGCAGGCCUAACACAUGCAAGUCGAACGCCGUAGCAAUACGGAGUGGCAGACGGGUGAGUAACACGUGGGAACGUACCUUUCGGUUCGGAAUAACUCAGGGAAACUUGAGCUAAUACCGGAUACGUGCGAGAGCAGAAAGAUUUAUCGCCGAAAGAUCGGCCCGCGUCCGAUUAGCUAGUUGGUGAGGUAACGGCUCACCAAGGCGACGAUCGGUAGCUGGUCUGAGAGGAUGAUCAGCCACACUGGGACUGAGACACGGCCCAGACUCCUACGGGAGGCAGCAGUGGGGAAUAUUGGACAAUGGGCGCAAGCCUGAUCCAGCCAUGCCGCGUGAGUGAUGACGGCCUUAGGGUUGUAAAGCUCUUUCGCCAGGGACGAUAAUGACGGUACCUGGAUAAGAAGCCCCGGCUAACUUCGUG
Molecule: ribosomal RNA, 433 nt
Filed under: uncultured bacterium
Lineage: Bacteria
Description: bacterial SSU rRNA
Rfam family: Bacterial small subunit ribosomal RNA
Source: RNAcentral